CAGGACUACUUAUAGACACGAAAUUACAAUCACUGUCAGAGGAAUUUUGACUUUCAAACACUACAGUAUUAAAAACGGCGUCAACUGUAGCAGAAGAAAUUCUUAUUUCAGUAUUUUCCUUAAAAAAGCUAUGAACCCAUUCCAAAACAUCGGGAUGGGAAGCUUCAUAGAAAAAUAGUAAAUAACCAGGAAGAAAUAUAUUAGAACACCAAUCUGAAAGUAGACCAUU
Molecule: non-coding RNA, 229 nt
Organism: Schizosaccharomyces pombe (fission yeast)
Lineage: Eukaryota; Fungi; Ascomycota; Schizosaccharomycetes; Schizosaccharomycetales; Schizosaccharomycetaceae
Source: the annotation of a GenBank genome assembly